GGGGACGCAGUAGGAUAGGCGAAGCGUGCGAUUGGAUUGCACGUCUAAGCAGUAAGGCUGAGUAUUAGGCAAAUCCGGUACUCGUUAAGGCUGAGCUGUGAUGGGGAGAAGACAUUGAGUCUUCGAGUCGUUGAUUUCACACUGCCGAGAAAAGCCUCUAGAUAGAAAAUAGGUGCCCGUACCGCAAACCGACACAGGUAGUCAAGAUGAGAAUUCUAAGGUGAGCGAGCGAACUCUCGUUAAGGAACUCGGCAAAAUGACCCCGUAACUUCGGGAGAAGGGGUGCUCUUUAGGGUUAACGCCCAGAAGAGCCGCAGUGAAUAGGCCCAAGCGACUGUUUAUCAAAAACACAGGUCUCUGCUAAACCGUAAGGUGAUGUAUAGGGGCUGACGCCUGCCCGGUGCUGGAAGGUUAAGAGGAGUGGUUAGCUUCUGCGAAGCUACGAAUCGAAGCCCCAGUAAACGGCGGCCGUAACUAUAACGGUCCUAAGGUAGCGAAAUUCCUUGUCGGGUAAGUUCCGACCCGCACGAAAGGCGUAACGAUUUGGGCACUGUCUCAACGAGAGACUCGGUGAAAUCAUAGUACCUGUGAAGAUGCAGGUUACCCGCGACAGGACGGAAAGACCCCGUGGAGCUUUACUGUAGCCUGAUAUUGAAAUUCGGCACAGCUUGUACAGGAUAGGUAGGAGCCUUUGAAACGUGAGCGCUAGCUUACGUGGAGGCGCUGGUGGGAUACUACCCUAGCUGUGUUGGCUUUCUAACCCGCACCACUUAUCGUGGUGGGAGACAGUGUCAGGCGGGCAGUUUGACUGGGGCGGUCGCCUCCUAAAAGGUAACGGAGGCGCUCAAAGGUUCCCUCAGAAUGGUUGGAAAUCAUUCAUAGAGUGUAAAGGCAUAAGGGAGCUUGACUGCGAGACCUACAAGUCGAGCAGGGUCGAAAGACGGACUUAGUGAUCCGGUGGUUCCGCAUGGAAGGGCCAUCGCUCAACGGAUAAAAGCUACCCCGGGGAUAACAGGCUUAUCUCCCCCAAGAGUUCACAUCGACGGGGAGGUUUGGCACCUCGAUGUCGGCUCAUCGCAUCCUGGGGCUGUAGUCGGUCCCAAGGGUUGGGCUGUUCGCCCAUUAAAGCGGUACGCGAGCUGGGUUCAGAACGUCGUGAGACAGUUCGGUCCCUAUCCGUCGUGGGCGUAGGAAAUUUGAGAGGAGCUGUCCUUAGUACGAGAGGACCGGGAUGGACAUACCUCUGGUGUACCAGUUGUCGUGCCAACGGCAUAGCUGGGUAGCUAUGUGUGGACGGGAUAAGUGCUGAAAGCAUCUAAGCAUGAAGCCCCCCUCAAGAUGAGAUUUCCCAACUUCGGUUAUAAGAUCCCUCAAAGAUGAUGAGGUUAAUAGGUUCGAGGUGGAAGCAUGGUGACAUGUGGAGCUGACGAAUACUAAUCGAUCGAAGACUUAAUCAA
This 1457-nucleotide ribosomal RNA is filed under the name Staphylococcus aureus. Its description in RNAcentral is "partial 23S ribosomal RNA". It matches the Rfam family "Bacterial large subunit ribosomal RNA", at positions 1468 to 2925 of the family's 2925-position model. Lineage: Bacteria; Bacillati; Bacillota; Bacilli; Caryophanales; Staphylococcaceae. The record is from RNAcentral.